AUGAAGAGUUUGAUCCUGGCUCAGAGCGAACGCUGGCGGCAUGGCUAAGGCAUGCAAGUCGUACGGGGCGCCGUAGCAAUAUGGCGUUCAGUGGCGAAAGGGAGCGUAAUGCAUGGGUAACGUACCCUGGACACCGGGAUAACAGCGGGGGCAACCCCUUUGCGAAAGUGCUGCUAAUACCGGAUGAUGUCCCCGGGCCGCAUGGCUUGGGGAUCAAAGGUGGGGACCCGCAAGGGCCUAUCGGUCCGGGCGCGGCCCAUGUCCUAUCAGCUAGUUGGCGGGGUAACGGCCCACCAAGGCUGCGACGGGUAGCGGGCGUGAGAGCGUGGCCCGCCUCAUCGGGACUGAGACACUGCCCGGACACCUACGGGUGGCUGCAGCAACGAGUCUUGGGCAAUGGGCGCAAGCCUGACCCAGCAAUGCCGCGUGCAGGAGGAAGCCCUUCGGGGUGUAAACUGCUGUCAGGGUCUCGCAAGCAAACGGGGUGAAUAAUCCCGGGCGUUGAGCAGAUCCAAAGGAAGCCUCGGCUAACUCUGUGCCAGCAGCCGCGGUAAGACAGAGGAGGCAAGCGUUGCUCGGAAUCAUUGGGCUUAAAGCGGGUGUAGGCGGCCCGGUAAGUGUCGAGUGAAAUCCCACGGCUCAACCGUGGAACGGCUCGGCAAACUGCCGGGCUUGAGGCCGGUAGAGGUGGCUGGAACUCUCGGUGGAGCGGUGAAAUGCGUAGAUAUCGAGAGGAACGCCAGAGGCGAAAGCGGGCCACUGGGCCGGUUCUGACGCUGAGACCCGAAAGCGUGGGGAGCAAACAGGAUUAGAUACCCUGGUAGUCCACGCCGUAAACGAUGCACACUGGGUGACGGGAUCUCUGACGAUGCCGCCGCCGAAGCUAAAGUGCUAAGUGUGCCGCCUGGGGAGUACGGCCGCAAGGCUAAAACUCAAAGGAAUUGACGGGGGCUCACACAAGCGGUGGAGCAUGUGGCUCAAUUCGAAGCAACGCGAAGAACCUUACCUGGGUUUGACAUGCACGGAUGCCUCCCGGGGAUAACUCGGGUUGGCUGCCCUUCGGGGUGAAACGUGCACAGGUGUUGCACGGCUGUCGUCAGCUCGUGCUGUGAAGUGUCGGGUUAAGUCCUUCAACGAGCGAAACCCCUGUCGCUAGUUGCCAGCGGGUCAUGCCGGGGACUCUAGCGAGACUGCCGGCGUAAGCCGGAGGAAGGCGGGGACGACGUCAAGUCAUCGUGGCCCUUAUGCCCAGGGACGCACACGUGCUACAAUGGCCGGGACAGAGGGACGCAAGGCCGCGAGGCGGAGCAAAUCCCAAAAAACCGGCCCCAGUUCAGAUUGGAGGCUGCAAUUCGCCUCCAUGAAGUUGGAAUCGCUAGUAAUCGCGCAUCAGCUACGGCGCGGUGAAUGUGUUCCUGAGCCUUGUACACACCGCCCGUCAAGUCAUGGGAGCCGGGAGUACCCGAAGUCCGCUCAGCCAACCGCAAGGAGGCGGCGGCCGACGGUAAGCCUGGUGACUGGGACUAAGUCGUAACAAGGUAGCCGUAGGGGAACCUGCGGCUGGAUCACCUCCUUUCUAGGG
This 1582-nucleotide ribosomal RNA is filed under the name Phycisphaerae bacterium. RNAcentral describes it as "bacterial SSU rRNA". It matches the Rfam family "Bacterial small subunit ribosomal RNA". Lineage: Bacteria; Pseudomonadati; Planctomycetota; Phycisphaerae. The record is from RNAcentral.